This 1110-nucleotide ribosomal RNA is filed under the name Lentibacillus amyloliquefaciens. RNAcentral's name for it is "bacterial SSU rRNA". It matches the Rfam family "Bacterial small subunit ribosomal RNA", at positions 428 to 1457 of the family's 1533-position model. Lineage: Bacteria; Bacillati; Bacillota; Bacilli; Caryophanales; Bacillaceae. The record is from RNAcentral.
AAACUCUGUUGUCAGGGAAGAAACACGUGCUGUUCGAAGAGGGCAGCACCUUGACGGUACCUGACCAGAAAGCCCCGGCUAACUACGUGCCAGCAGCCGCGGUAAUACAUUAGGGGGCAAGCGUUGUCCGGAAUUAUUGGGCGUAAAGCGCGCGCAGGCGGUCCUUUAAGUCUGAUGUGAAAACCCGCGGCUCAACCGCCCGCGGUCAUUGGAAACUGGAGGACUUGAGUGCAGAAGAGGAGAGUGGAAUUCCACGUGUAGCGGUGAAAUGCGUAGAGAUGUGGAGGAACACCAGUGGCGAAGGCGACUCUCUGGUCUGUAACUGACGCUGAGGUGCGAAAGCAUGGGUAGCGAACAGGAUUAGAAUACCCUGGUAGUCCCAUGCCGUAAACGAUGAGUGCUAGGUGUUAGGGGGUUUCCACCCCUUAGUGCUGAAGUUAACGCAAUAAGCACUCCGCCUGGGGAGUACGGCCGCAAGGCUGAAACUCAAAAGAAUUGACGGGGGCCCGCACAAGCGGUGGAGCAUGUGGUUUAAUUUCGAAGCAACGCGAAGAACCUUACCAGGUCUUGACAUCCUCUGAUGGCGGGCUUAGAGACAGUACCGUGUUCCCUUCGGGGACAGAGUGACAGGUGGUGCAUGGUUGUCGUCAGAGCUCGUGUCGUGAGAUGUUGGGUUAAGUCCCGUAACAUGAGCGCAACCCUUGAUCUUAUGUUCCACGCCAGCAUUCAGUUGGGCACUCUAAGGUGACUGCCGGUGACAAACCGGAGGAAGGCGGGGACGUGACGUCAAAUCCCAAUCAUGCCCCAUUAUGACCCUCAGGUGGGCUACACAUCGUGGCCACAAUGGAUGGCCGUUACCUAAACAAAGGGCCGCGAAGCCGCAAGGCCAAGCCAUCAGCGAUCCCAUAAAACCAUUCCCAGUUCGGUUAUGCCAUUGCAGGCAUGCAACUCGCCAUGCUGUAUGAAGCCGGAAUCGCUAGUAAUCGCGGGUGUUAUCAGCAUGCCGCUGGUGAAUACGUUCCCGGGCACUUGUUACACACCCGCCCGUCACACCUCUUACGAGAGUUGAGUGCAAGCACCCGAAGUCGAGUGUGAGGUAACGCUUUCAGG